GAGCUCAUUCGUCGCCCAUCUCCGUCUCCUCUACCGCCUUCCUUUUUCGAACCCUCACGGCCUCUUUUUCCUCGGCUUCCUACGGCUCUCCAAUCCACCGUUAAAGAUGGCAGCGCUCUCAAAGAACCGACGAUCCUCCUAGCUUCCCCCCGAGAGCCGGAGACGGGUCGGCGAGGUUAACGUCGGAGGAUUUCUCCGACUCCCUCCGCCGCGGUGCGUUUUCGGUUUCGGGGGAGCACCUCAAGGAGACAGGGUUCGAUCUUAAGAGCGGCAAUUUCCAAGUCCGCCGAGCGAGCGAGCCCGGAUUGCUGCCAAGAAGGCCCGGGAGGCGGUGGACCGUUACAGAUCUAAGUUGGCGCCGGGGUUCUUGAUGUGGAACAAGUGAGCGCAUUAGAUGGUGAUCGACUUCUUUCUUGACCUGAAUUAUUAUUUAUUUUUCAUCUUCAAUUAUUAUUCAUUGGAUGGUAAUCUUAAUUUCCCCCUCUGAACUCGUACAAACUAUAGUUUUUGCAUGAGUUUGUAUAUUUUUCUCCCUUAUACCAUGUAAUUUGUUCAACUUGGUUAGUACUAGUUUUUGUUACAAAAGGUUUUGUUAUGAUUGGCUAGUUUUCGAACUCACUUAGAUAAGCGGCUAAUUGCUAAGAUGCUGAGAUUCGGAAGGAUUACAUUCCCUCCUGGCCCCUUGUGGGCGAAGUUUGUCGGUUAAGGUUGUCGAGAGGUAUCUAAUGGAUACUGAGACCUUAUACAUGGUCAGAAUUUCCUAAGAUCUUAUGGCAGAGUCCUACUGUGGCACACAAUUUGUCCAUGAAAAAUAUAUGCGAGACACUGUUUUUUUUUUUUGGCAAGGAGGAAGACACUUUGUUGGUCUCAAUCACAUUAUAUAUGACAAUAUGACAAACUCCUCGGGCAGCUUUAGUAAUUAGUGCUGCUUCUCUUAGAUAGGCAACUUUUAAUGCCUCUCUUAUUGGAGUGUAGUUGUCUUUAUUGCAAUGUAGUUAUUUAAACCCUUUUUUUGGUGCACUUAUCUAGUCUCAGUCCCUGCAGCAUCAGGUGCUCUAAAUGCAUGUUCUCAUAAAUAUGGAUACCAUAACAAUAGGCUAAUUAGAUAUUAUCCCUUGUAAUUAGACCUCCUUAACAUUCCAAUCCCUAGGCUUCAAAAAUUUAUAUUGAAAUUUCUAUAGUUAUGAAAAUAAAACAUCUAACUCCAUUUACCCUAACGUCGUCGAUUUUACCGACGGAAGCACAAAAAUAAUGGGCAAAAAGAUAAUUUUAACAUCUUAGUUGGUGGUGACGGACGACGUUGAUGGUGGCGGACAGCGACACUGUUGGGGGCCAUGUGUGGCUGUUGUAGAUGAGAAGAGCGGCAGCAAGAGGUGAAGGUCGUUUUGCAUAUGCGACGACGUCGACGCAGAUGCAAAGCAGCGAAAGAGUCGUUCGACAAUUGCGUCGGUGUCGACACAAAUGCAGAGUGGCCCUUACUUCUCGUUGUCGCUUUCCUCAUCCACACCCGUGGCCCCCAACGGCGUCGUCAUCCGUCACCACCAACUGAAAUAUUAAAAUUAUUUUUUUGUCCAUUAUUUUCGUAUUUCGGUUGGUAAAACCGAUGACGUUAGGAUAAAUGGAGCUAAAUAUUUCACUUUCAUAACUAUAUGGAUUCUAAUGUAAAUUUUUUAGGUCUAAGGAUCGGGAUGCUAAGGAGGUUUAACUACAAAGGAUAAUAUAUAAUUGGCCCUACAAUAGUCGUGCUUGAUCACAUUCUUUUUGGUGUAUGUCAUAUUAGCUCCCAUUAUCCGGUACAUAUUAGUAGCUUCGAUUUCUAGUAGAGUAUUUGAUGCAUUCUAUCAUAAGUAACUUGAUAUAACAGAUGUUGAGAUGAAUUUGCGGCAAAUGGUAGAUGCAUAAUUAAGGAAAUGAAAGUAUGGUGAACAAGAGAAAAAAGAGAUCGAAGAACUAUGACUAAAUGAAAUUUCACUUGUAACUUAGUUUCAGUUUGCCUUGCAGUAAUUAAAUACUUGAUAGCUAAGGCUCCAUUUGUUACUAGAAUUAGUUUUAGGAGAAUAAUCUAAUAUCAUGAUUAUACAAAAUCAAUAACUGCUACUCUCUUUUGGGUAUUACUAUUUGUGAUGUAUUUAAAUAUUCAUUGAAAAGUUUGUUAAAAAAAAAUCAGGACAUAGUGAUUUUAUUAUUGAUCAAUACAAACUUUAUUUGUUUAAGUUGAUUCUACAUUCAAUUGGUUCAGUCUGUUUGAUCAAACCUGACUAUUGACAAAUUGAUAAAUUGAUUUCGUAUCAGGUCAGACUCUGGGUUCUCAGACCCUUCUGCAAAGACAGAAACUAAAACUUUUGCAAAGACGAUAUAUAAAUUUGAGCUCUACUAGCCAACUUAACCGAUCAAGUUCAAGUUGAUCUGAAACUCUAUUUGCAAAAGUAUAAUAUAUCUUUUGAGGUUGACUACUGACCUGAUUUGACCCAGGUCAACAUGUAGGAAAACCCAAUUGUGAUAUGAGACAGGUUUGGGAUAAAACCUACACCCACUCCAUAAAAUUUACAAUUCCUUUGGUUUACAGAUGAACUUCUCUGUCUUUUGGACACUAAUGUCUAACCCAAUCCUGGACAAGACUAAAAUAUAUCUUUUGCUUGAGCUAAACCAUGCCAGGAAUCCUGAUGUUUGAUAAAUUUGACAAGGUGGAUAGCAGCGCAUGCUACAUCAAAGCUGUGGAUAUUGGCACAAUAUGAAAAUAGUAGACAUUAAAUCUUUAGGGAUUUCUAUUGUCUGUUAUUUGACAUUUCAUGAACAAUCAUUUCCUUGGAUCUUUGUUUUGCUCUUCA
Molecule: long non-coding RNA, 2828 nt
Filed under: Musa acuminata (dwarf banana)
Lineage: Eukaryota; Viridiplantae; Streptophyta; Magnoliopsida; Zingiberales; Musaceae
Description: long non-coding RNA (MACU_LNC002972)
Source: RNAcentral